GAUGAACGCUGGCGGCGUGCCUAAUACAUGCAAGUCGAGCGAACGGACGAGAAGCUUGCUUUUCUGAUGUUAGCGGCGGACGGGUGAGUAACACGUGGAUAACCUACCUAUAAGACUGGGAUAACUUCGGGAAACCGGAGCUAAUACCGGAUAAUAUUUUGAACCGCAUGGUUCAAAAGUGAAAGACGGUCUUGCUGUCACUUAUAGAUGGAUCCGCGCUGCAUUAGCUAGUUGGUAAGGUAACGGCUUACCAAGGCAACGAUGCAUAGCCGACCUGAGAGGGUGAUCGGCCACAUUGGAACUGAGACACGGUCCCGACUCCUACGGGAGGCAGCAGUAGGGAAUCUUCCGCAAUGGGCGAAAGCCUGACGGAGCAACGCCGCGUGAGUGAUGAAGGUCUUCGGAUCGUAAAACUCUGUUAUUAGGGAAGAACAUAUGUGUAAGUAACUGUGCACAUCUUGACGGUACCUAAUCAGAAAGCCACGGCUAACUACGUG
RNAcentral lists this ribosomal RNA (497 nucleotides) under uncultured bacterium. RNAcentral describes it as "partial 16S ribosomal RNA". It matches the Rfam family "Bacterial small subunit ribosomal RNA", at positions 28 to 507 of the family's 1533-position model. The record is from RNAcentral.